This 239-nucleotide unclassified non-coding RNA is filed under the name Hevea brasiliensis (rubber tree). The record is from RNAcentral. Lineage: Eukaryota; Viridiplantae; Streptophyta; Magnoliopsida; Malpighiales; Euphorbiaceae.
GUCCAUACAUAGGGUUCCCGAUACACCUCUCACUACCAUUGCGAGGCAUAGACUUUCCAUUACCACGAACAGAUUCAACCGGCCAAGCCUUGGCAACUGAACCAUCUGUAUUAAGAAGAGCCAUCAGAUGCCUUGACGACCCCAUCCUCUGAAUCAUCUGAAACAUCCGUUUGGAACUACACGAGUUAGCAUCACAUUGGUUUCUGUACUCUUCAUGUACUACAGACACAGUGUUCGUG